This 581-nucleotide ribosomal RNA is filed under the name uncultured cyanobacterium. RNAcentral's name for it is "bacterial SSU rRNA". It matches the Rfam family "Bacterial small subunit ribosomal RNA", at positions 106 to 721 of the family's 1533-position model. The record is from RNAcentral. Lineage: Bacteria; Bacillati; Cyanobacteriota.
GUGAGUAACGCGUGAGAAUCUGCCUUCAGGAUGGGGACAACAGUUGGAAACGACUGCUAAUACCCGAUAUGACGAAAGUUGAAAGAUUAUCGCCUGGAGAUGAGCUCGCGUCAGAUUAGCUAGAUGGUGUGGUAACGGCGCACCAUGGCGACGAUCUGUAGCUGGUCUGAGAGGAUGAGCAGCCACACUGGGACUGAGACACGGCCCAGACUCCUACGGGAGGCAGCAGUGGGGAAUUUUCCGCAAUGGGCGCAAGCCUGACGGAGCAAUACCGCGUGAGGGAGGAAGGCUCUUGGGUCGUAAACCUCUUUUCUCAGGGAAGAACAAAAUGACGGUACCUGAGGAAUCAGCAUCGGCUAACUCCGUGCCAGCAGCCGCGGUAAUACGGAGGAUGCAAGCGUUAUCCGGAAUGAUUGGGCGUAAAACGUCCGUAGGUGGUUAUGUAAGUCUGUGGUUAAAGCGUGGGGCUCAACCCCAUAAGGGCCAUGGAAACUACAAGACUUGAGUAAAGUAGGGGUAGAGGGAAUUCCCAGUGUAGCGGUGAAAUGCGUAGAGAUUGGGAAGAACACCGGUGGCGAAAG